CCUACGGGGGGCAGCAGUGGGGAAUAUUGGACAAUGGGGGGAACCCUGAUCCAGCCAUGCCGCGUGUGUGAAGAAGGCCCUCGGGUUGUAAAGCACUUUCAGUGAGGAAGAACGCCUGGUGGUGAAUACCCAUCAGGAAAGACAUCACUUACAGAAGAAGCACCGGCUAACUCCGUGCCAGCAGCCGCGGUAAUACGGAGGGUGCGAGCGUUAAUCGGAAUUACUGGGCGUAAAGCGCGCGUAGGUGGCUUGAUAAGCCGGUUGUGAAAGCCCCGGGCUCAACCUGGGAACGGCAUCCGGAACUGUCAAGCUAGAGUACAGGAGAGGAAGGUAGAAUUCCCGGUGUAGCGGUGAAAUGCGUAGAGAUCGGGAGGAAUACCAGUGGCGAAGGCGGCCUUCUGGACUGACACUGACGCUGAGGUGCGAAAGCGUGGGUAGCAAACAGGAUUAGAUACCCUGGUAGUC
Molecule: ribosomal RNA, 465 nt
Filed under: Vreelandella stevensii
Lineage: Bacteria; Pseudomonadati; Pseudomonadota; Gammaproteobacteria; Oceanospirillales; Halomonadaceae
Description: partial 16S ribosomal RNA
Rfam family: Bacterial small subunit ribosomal RNA
Source: RNAcentral